Molecule: non-coding RNA, 136 nt
Organism: Hordeum vulgare subsp. vulgare (domesticated barley)
Lineage: Eukaryota; Viridiplantae; Streptophyta; Magnoliopsida; Poales; Poaceae
Source: Rfam
UUUGUACUCCCUCCGUUUCAAAAUUAUUGUCUUAGAUUUGUCUAGAUAUAAAUGUAUCUAGUCACGUUUUAGUAUUUAGAAACGUCAUUUUCUAGACAAACUUAAGACAAGAAUUUUGGGACGGAGGAAGUAGUUA